UACAGAGGUGGCAAGCGUUGUUCGGAAUUACUGGGCGUAAAGGGCGCGUAGGCGGUUCGAUAAGUCCCGUGUGAAAUCCCUCGGCUCAACUGAGGAACUGCACGGGAAACUGACGGGCUUGAGUUCGGGAGAGGGAAGCGGAAUUCCGGGUGUAGCGGUGAAAUGCGUAGAUAUCCGGAGGAACACCGGUGGCGAAGGCGGCUUCCUGGACCGACACUGACGCUGAGGCGCGAAAGCUAGGGGAGCAAACGGG
RNAcentral lists this ribosomal RNA (253 nucleotides) under uncultured bacterium. Its description in RNAcentral is "partial 16S ribosomal RNA". It matches the Rfam family "Bacterial small subunit ribosomal RNA", at positions 524 to 776 of the family's 1533-position model. The record is from RNAcentral.